GGUUUUUACCCUGUUAACCAAGGUAAUUCAAAAGUUCCGAUCUCUCGAAAGAGAGUGUCGAACACCUUUAUAAUUUUUCGAACCGCUCGACCGGGGUAUCCGGUUGGGCAAAA
RNAcentral lists this small nuclear RNA (113 nucleotides) under Caenorhabditis brenneri. Its description in RNAcentral is "snRNA CBN33928". It matches the Rfam family "SL2 RNA". Rfam says of the family: This family represents SL2 RNA. SL2 RNA is involved in trans splicing in lower eukaryotes. Lineage: Eukaryota; Metazoa; Nematoda; Chromadorea; Rhabditida; Rhabditidae. The record is from RNAcentral.